Paramuricea clavata is the source of this 604-nucleotide non-coding RNA. The record is from the annotation of a GenBank genome assembly. Lineage: Eukaryota; Metazoa; Cnidaria; Anthozoa; Malacalcyonacea; Plexauridae.
GCGGACAAUUUGAUGAGGUGGAUUUUCAAUGAGCCCAAUAACUUUUUAAACCUCCCAAUGCUGCUCGAUAUUUUUCUGCCGUUCAAGGCUUUUGAACAUUUUUUUAUUUCGUGGGCACAUAUAGGUAGUAGGUAUUGACUAUAGGCUAUGGGUCGUAAUUUAAGAGAAUUUUUUAUAAAGUUUGGACAUGCAAACAUUCACAAUUGUAUAUAUUUACAAUUGUAUAUUUUUGUCAUUUCUUUAACUAUAUUGAGUUAUUGUAAAUAUGUUUUAUAGUUUAUGUAAAUAUGAUAUGUUAUAAUAUAUAUAUAUAUAUAUAUUAUAUAUAUAUAUAUAUAUAUAUAUAUAUAUAUAUAUAUAUAUAUAUAUAUAUAUAUAUAUAUAUAUAUAUAUAUAUAUAUAUAUAUAUAUAUAUAUGUCAAUGUCACACAGUAAUCAGUGUAACAAGCUGUUUGAAAAAUGUAUAUAUGUGUAAUGUCAACUUGGGCAACGUAAGUUGAGCAGCGUAAAUAUUGUAUAUUCUAUUAUAUGUAUAUUUGAAGGGCUUGGGGAAGGUUAUAAUUUCGUUCUACAUUUAUAUACAGUGAAAUAGUAAUGUGUAAGC